GGCCAAAUCUACAUUUGGAAGUUCCUAGGCUAGGGGUCAAAUCAGAGCUGCAGCUGCCGGCCGACACCACAGCCACAGCCACGCCAGAUCUGAGCCACAUCUGCAACUUAUGCUGCAGCUUGUGACAAUACCAGGUCCUUAACCCACUAAGCAGACCAGGGAUUUAACUCUCAUCCUCAUGGACACUAGUCAGGUUCUUAACCCAUUGACCCACAAUGCAAAUGCUGAUUCUUUAAUAUAUAUAUUUUUUAAAAAGAUAGCAUCCUAAUAAGACAAGAUGCUUGGAAACCACAUACACACAAAGUAAAAUUACAUCUUAAGUUUUUUUUUAACACUAAAACUUUUAAUAAAAACACAGUCACAUUUUACAGCAUCUUUUCACUCAAAAGGAUUUUAAAAUUUACCAAACUAAGAUUUGUUUCACUCAUUACUGAUGUGUGUUCAUCCCUGCAGAGGAAAUGUGGAACGUGAUUAACAGCAAAAGUACACUUCCAAUUGUACUGUCCUUUUGGACUAAAAAAUCUGAAAAGAAUCCUCAGAAGAAAACGUCAAGUGGAGUCAAUUGCAGCUUCACCUUCUAAUUUUUUUUUGUCUUUUUUUAGGGCCACACCUUCAGCAUAUGGAGGUCGAAUCAGAGCUGCAGCUGCUGGCCUACACCACAGCCACAGCAAUGUGGGAUUCCAGCAGUGUCUGCGACCUACACCACAGCUCAUGGCAAUGCUGGAUCCUUAACUCACUGAAUGAGGCUGGGAAUCAAACCCACAUCCUCAUGGAUACUAGUCAGGUUCAUUACCACUGAGCCACAACGGGAACUCCCGCCUUCUUAAACUGACCAAACUAGAAUUCUGCCAGUCUUGAUGCAUGGAGCUUUUCUGUCAGGAGCUGGGUGGGCACAAAACCUUCCACAAUCUCACCCCCACCCUCAAUGUGUCUGCAAUACAGCUUUCUGGAAGCUUCUAUGAUGAACGUCUUGUCUUUGAAAUAAAACAUCCUGUCUAGGGUUCAUCUGUAAUCCUGACCCUUAACGAGAGGAUUGGAACAUAAUGAACCCUAAGGUUAGCCCGGAGAAGAAAUAAUCCUUUCUGCUCGACAAGGGAAAACCCAUACCCAGACUCAACUCUCUUCCUAGAUCCAUGUCCUGUGCUUCUUCCCAUUCAUCUCUUGAUGCAAAACCACAAUUAGAAUAAUCAGUCCAGCAAUCCCACUCCUGGGCAUGCAUCCAGACAAAACUAUAAUUCAAAAAGACACAUGCACUUCUAUGUUCAUUGCAGCACUAUUCACAAUAGCCAAGACGCGGAAACAACCUAAAUAUACAAAGACAGAUGAAGGGAUUAAGAAAAUGUGGCACAUAUAUGCAAUGGAAUACUACUAAGCCAUUAAAAAGAAUAAAAUAAUGCCAUUUAUAGCAACAUGGAUGCAACUAGAGAUUCUCGGACCAGGUGAAGUAAGCCAGGCAGAGAGACAAAUACCAUAUGAUAGCAAUUAUAUGUGGAACUUAAAAUAUGGCACAAACAAGUCUAUCUACAAAAUAGAAAUAGACUCAAAGACAUAGAGAACAGACUUGUGGUUUCCAAGGGGGUGGGGGAAGGAAUGGGAUGAACUGGGGGUUUGGGGUUAGCAGAAGCAAACUGUUACAUUUACGAUGGAUGAGCAAUAAGGUUCUACUAUACCGUGCAGGGAACUACAUUCAGUCUCUUGGGAUAGAACAUGAUGAAAGAUAAUACAAGAGAAGACAUUAUACACAUACACACGCACACAGUGGAAAUGGGCACAACAGCGUAUUUUUUUAUUUUUUUUGCCAUUUCUUGGGCCGCUCCCACGGCAUAUGGAGGUUCCCAGGCUAGGGGUGGAAUUGGAGCUGUAGCCACCAGCCUACGCCAGAGCCACAGCAACGCAGGAUCCGAGCCGCAUCUGCAACCUACACCACAGCUCACGGCAACGCCGGAUCCUUAACCCACUGAGCAAGGCCAGGGAUCGAACCCACAACCUCAUGGUUCCUAGUCGGAUUCGUUAACCACUGAGCCACCACGGGAACUCCAACUACACCUUAAUUUUAAAAAUAAAUACUAAAAAGAUGACACAGCCAUAUGACAUAUACUAACUCAAAUAGCCUAGAGCCAUAUUUUCCAGUCCUUACCUAUUGCCCUCAAAUGGUAUUAUGGGCUGAAUAUUUGUGUUCCCCCACAAUUCAUAUAUUGUAGCCUUAACCCCUGAUGUGAUGGUGUUAGGAGGCAGGGCCUUUCAGAGGUAAUUAAGUCUAGAUGAGGUCAUGAGAGUAGAGCUCCAUGAUGGCAUAAGAAGAGGAGGAGAGCCAGAGCCUGUUCUCUCCAUGUGCACCUGCUGAGGAAAGGCCAUGGGAGCGCACAGAGGAAGGGGGCUGUCCACAAGCCAGGAAGCUAGCUCUCCCCAGGAACUGAAUCUAUCAGGACCUUGAUUUUGGACAUCAAGCCUCCCGGACUAUGGGGAAUAAAUGUUUGCUACUUAAGCCACCACAGUCUGUGGAUUUUGUUAUAGCAGCUUGUGUUGACUGAGACAAAUGGCAUAAAUGCCUUUCUAAACAAAAACACCUGAGGACUGCUAUGCAUCCACUCUCUUAUUUAUUGAAUAAAAAUGAACUGGGUGCUGUAAUGGGCCAGGUGCUGCUAUAGGCAUGGAGGAUUUGCAGUGUGUGUCAGGUGAGGAAAGCCCAAAUCCCUGCUGUCAUGGAGUUUCUAUCCUUCUCCAUGUUGUCUCCCAAGACCACACUGGGAAUAUCCCACCAAAUUAGCUAGUUUUAUAAAAGGACCAAAUUUGUGUGUGCACAUCAUUGGUAAGCAGAUUCACAGUGUACCUUGAUUCUAAAGGCAUGUUCUAAAGACAUUACCUCCCACACCCAAGCUGUCAUCUCACAGAAAUGGAAAUGGGCACUUGCUGGGAGGAACUAUGAACUUUGUAUUUAUACAUCUUUGUAUUAUUUAACUAGUUUAAAUGAACAUGUAUUUGUUUUGUAACUAAAUAUAAUUCCAUAGAAGUUUUUUUAAACUUUACCAUCAAUCCUUCGAUAUUCCAGAGAGACAAAAGCAAGACGGAUGGAAAUGAAUGAGGUCCAGAGAAAGACCCUGGGUUAUGAGAAAAGAACUGCCUCGCAUAAACGCCUUCCCCAGUAUCUAAUGCAAUAACAACAACGUUUGCUACUAGCAACUAACAAGUGUAGGGGCACAGCCAAUACAGGAAGCAAGCCUCAAAAAGUGACAGCUAAGGAGUUCCAGCUGUGGCUGCAGUGGGUUAAGAAUCUGACUGCAGUGUGUAGGGUUGCUGCAGAGGCACGGGUUCGAUUCUUACCUGGCGCAGUGGGUUAAAGGAUCCAGUGUUGCCACUGGUGCGUGUAGGUUGCAGUGAUGGCUGGGAUUCAAUCCCUGGAACUUACAUAUGCUAUGGGUGUGGCAAUUAAAAAAAAAGUGACAGCUAGAAAAGGAAGUCAAUUCUGGGAUGGAACUGAGCAGCAGAAUGGCAAGGCCAUUAACUACAUCCUGAUUUCUCAAAAUCUCUGGGGAUAAGUCACAGCAAUCAUGAGAAUUCUCACUUAAAAUUCCAAACCUGGUAAGAAGAAGGUUGAAGCUAUCCUAGCGUUUUCCUUCUUUACUGGGAAGUAAUGGAAAUAGCCACAAGCUGCUUGAAAGAAACAGAGGAAGUGGACAAGGAGGCUGUCUCUGGCAGAACUGCAGACUUCAUGGUAUGUUCUGAAUGCGGCAUGGCUCAGAGGCCAGAAGUUACCUAUCCAGCAAAAAGAGACCUAUUCUCCACCCAAAUGAGGUGGUGUGAACACUUGUCUGGGACAACUAAUAAAACUUCUGAAGGGACAGCAGAGCCCAAGCUAUCUUUUAACAAAGCCUGCCUUAGGUGAGUUCUCUCUGUUCCCUUGCUCUCAGGCUAUAGAAAAAACAAAACAAAACAAAACUGAAUAGCUCUUAAAGUGUAGACCUUAAGGAAAAAAUAAAUGAUACUGUGAGAUGAGAGUCAAGACAUCACUAACACUGUAAAAGUAAAGAGAAAAUAUAAUAUAGAUAGAACUCCCAAAGCAUGACCAAGAUAAAAAGGAAAUGGAAUGGCAACAAGACAAGUCUAUACAAGACACACACAGAGACACACAUACCAUAUGGCAUGCAAAUAAUCAACCUAGAAAAUAUAACUCAAGUAAAAAAAGAAAAAUUUCUCACAUGUGCAUUUAACUAAAGAAUAACUGAAUAAGAACACGAGUUCAAAGAUGAUCAAAGGAACCCUCCUACACAUUUGGUGGGAAUGUAAAUUGGUACAACCACUAUGGAGAACAGUAUGGAGGUCCCUUAAAAACCUAAAUAUAGAACUACCAUAUAACCCAGCAAUGCCUCUCCUGGGCAUAUAUCUGGAGAAAGGCAUAGUUCGGAAAGAUACAUGUGUCCCCAGUGUUCAUAGGAUCCAUAUUCACAAUAGCCAAGACACGGAAGAAACCUAAACGUCCAUCAACAGAGACAUGGGUAAAGAAAAUGUGGUACAGAUCUACAAUGGAAUACUACUCAGCCAUAAAAAAGAAUGAAAUAAUGCCAUUUUCAGCAACAUAGAUGGAAGUAGAGAUUAUCAUAUUAAGUGAAGUAAGCCAGGUAGAGAAAGACAAAUAUCAUAUGAUAUCACUUAUAUGUGGAAUCUAAUUAAAAAUAACACAAAAGAACUUGUUUGUAGGAUAGAAAUAGACUCAAAGAUUUUGAGGUCAAACUUAGGGUUAUCAAAGGGGAAACUGAGGGGGGAGGGAUAAAUUGGGAGGGUGAGAUUGGUAUAUACACACUACUAUAUACCGGGUAGAUAACUAACAGGGACCUACUAGCACAGGGGGUUCUACUUAAUGGCCUGUAAUAAUCUACAUGGAAAAAAAGAACUGAUAUAUGUAUAUGUAUAAUUGAUUCACUUAGCUGUAAACCUAAAGCUAAUUCAAUACUGCAAAUCAACUAUACCCCAAUAAAAUAAAGAUGACCAAAAGCAGCAGAAUGAGGAACUCCCCCAGUGCUGUAACAGGAUCAGUGGCAUCUCUGCAGCACCACGAUGCAGGUUCAAUCCCCAGCCCAGCACAGUGAGUUAAAGGAUCUGGUUUUGCCAUAGCUGUGGCAUAGGUCACAAAUAUGAUCCAGAUCUGACCCCUGGCCUGGGAACUCAUAUGCCAGAAAUGAAAAC
RNAcentral lists this long non-coding RNA (5181 nucleotides) under Sus scrofa (pig). RNAcentral describes it as "lncRNA (ENSSSCG00060008743.1)". The record is from RNAcentral. Lineage: Eukaryota; Metazoa; Chordata; Mammalia; Artiodactyla; Suidae.